UGGAAGAGUAACAUAGAGUAAAGUAACAGGUAACAUUAUACAUAAGCAAUUUUUUUUUCUUUGAAACAAAGUUGUGUCUGUUAAACAGUAACAACUGAGUAGCAUGAGUUCAAUUCAAUGAACCUAUAUGCUUUAUAUACUAUACUAAGCAGUAAAUACUAUACCAAGCAGUAAAUGAGGUGAGGGAUUGUUUCCUACACAUUAUCCUCAGCAAUGCUUCAUAUUGAAUGUCAAUAGAAACAAUUCAUAGCUGCCAAAUUAAACAGAAU
This 269-nucleotide long non-coding RNA is filed under the name Trifolium pratense (red clover). RNAcentral describes it as "long non-coding RNA (TPRA_LNC007570)". Lineage: Eukaryota; Viridiplantae; Streptophyta; Magnoliopsida; Fabales; Fabaceae. The record is from RNAcentral.